AGUGAACGCUGGCGGUAGGCCUAACACAUGCAAGUCGAACGGCAGCACAGUAAGAGCUUGCUCUUACGGGUGGCGAGUGGCGGACGGGUGAGGAAUACAUCGGAAUCUACUUUUUCGUGGGGGAUAACGUAGGGAAACUUACGCUAAUACCGCAUACGACCUACGGGUGAAAGCAGGGGAUCUUCGGACCUUGCGCGAUUGAAUGAGCCGAUGUCGGAUUAGCUAGUUGGCGGGGUAAAGGCCCACCAAGGCGACGAUCCGUAGCUGGUCUGAGAGGAUGAUCAGCCACACUGGAACUGAGACACGGUCCAGACGCCUACGGGAGGCAGCAGUGGGGAAUAUUGGACAAAGGGGGCAAGCCUGAUACAGCCAUACCGCGUGGGUGAAGAAGGCCUUCGGGUUGUAAAGCCCUUUUGUUGGGAAAGAAAAGCAGCAGGUUAAUACCCCGCUGUUCUGACGGUACCCAAAGAAUAAGCACCGGCUAACUUCGUG
Molecule: ribosomal RNA, 492 nt
Filed under: uncultured bacterium
Lineage: Bacteria
Description: partial 16S ribosomal RNA
Rfam family: Bacterial small subunit ribosomal RNA
Source: RNAcentral